GCAGACACACUCUGUUCUCUGCUGCUUACUUCAGCCUGGGACUUUUUCUGUCUGCUACAUAAACUGGCAGAAUGCAACGUCGCUAGCUUUACCUAAACGCUGGUGUUGUGUUCUGCUACAUUACU
Girardinichthys multiradiatus is the source of this 125-nucleotide small nucleolar RNA. RefSeq annotates it as small nucleolar RNA SNORA77. Lineage: Eukaryota; Metazoa; Chordata; Actinopteri; Cyprinodontiformes; Goodeidae. The record is from RefSeq and is a predicted model, not a curated record. The transcript has a single exon.